GGGGUAUUUGGGAGGUGGGCUUUAGGCAUAUCUAUGGCAUUUUAUUUCUUAGAUUGACAGACCCACUAGAAAUGUGGCAAAGUAUUAACAUCUAUGGCCUUGGAUGUAUACACUAUUUUAUAAUUUUUGAAAAGUUGCAAAUAAGUAAAUAAAGAAGAGACAUGUUGUCAGGUUAUUUCCUUGUAUAAGGCUUCCCUUCAUUUUCUCCGUCCUAGCCGCCUUGGCAUGUGCAGUUCUCCCUCUUAACCCACUUCCAGUUGUCGCCACUGCCCUAGGCAAAGUGCACAGGUGUUUCUGGUCCUCUUUAUGUUGGAAAAUCGAAUUCCGCUGUGUUGUAUUUAAUCAGGGCUCCUAUUUUCCUGUGGGGAGAGGGUGUCAGCUCCUGGAAAUCAGCCCCUCGGCAGUCAGCCGCCGGCUGUUGUCCCCUGAGCAGACACGGGCCGGGGCAGACACAGGCCUCUCCUCUGUCAACGCGAGCAGACGAGACAUCAGCAUGGCCAUCUGACUGCGUCGCCGGAGCCCUGUGGAGUGACAGUGUCGCGAAGGGAAGGGAAGGCGCUGGCAGGCGGGGACCCAGCAGAGCCUCGGUGAGCAGCAGUCAGGCAGGACCUGUGCACACGGCACAGCGGGGACCAAAGUAUCUCGAGAAUCCACUUUGAAAACAAAAUGUGAUCAGCAGGUGCCACCAUCUUUUGUCUUAUUAAAAAUCCUAUUUUUACAAGAAGCGCGCAUAUGCUUUCCUUCCUUGAGAAGCGGCACUUAGGCGUAGACGCUGUCCAUGCGACGUCCACCAUCUUCCCCUCAGCCUCGUCGUGGUCACUGAUAGCCCCACCGACCAGAGAAGACCUUGGUGUUAGCGAGGGCGCGGCAGGGGCAGGACUCUGGGUCACCACCCGUGAACGCCCCACCUCCCCUUCCUCUAUCUCUCCUCCUCCUCCUCCACCACCGCUUCUCUCCACCUUCUCCUUCCUCUUCCUCCUCCCCUCUUCCUCUCUUCUUUCUCUUCCUUUUCCUCUUCUUCUCCUUCCUC
This is a long non-coding RNA of Heterocephalus glaber (naked mole-rat), 1030 nucleotides long. The record is from Ensembl. Lineage: Eukaryota; Metazoa; Chordata; Mammalia; Rodentia; Bathyergidae.